UAUAUAUGUAUACAAGAUGACAGCUUGCACGAGAACUACAAAUUUAGUCUAUAUACAUGGCUUGAAAAUUACUUCACAAUUAUCAAGGUACAAGCCAAAUCAGAACACAAGAACAAAAGUUGAUGGCCACUCUAGUAGUGUAUCGAAGCAAAGCAAGGUUAUUAAGGUACAAGCGGAAGUCUGAAGUUUCUUUUCUUCAUUGGUUCAUCUUGUACAGAUUGCAUUCUCAGGCUAGGAGAACCAAAAAUGUAUCACCAUGAAACAGAAGGCACUACUUAACUAUAAAAUCCUACCACAUACCCUCCAACAAUUUCAUAUUUAAUAUCUUCGAAGCAAAUGAGAAGCAUGUCUAUGUUUCUUGUGAUCUUAAUUAGUGUAUGCAAGCUUGAACACGCAUAUACAUAAUAGUAAAAGGUCACCUUAGUUUAUCCAAGCUAUAAUACUUCAUGCACACAAUUAAUUAAGUAUGACAUGGGAUCUCAGGGGACUUACAUGUACACCAUGGAGUAGCAAUUUCUAAGCUAUUUUGAUGGAAUUGCAUAAGGCCAGAUUUUUUAUCAAACACCUCAGCAAACAUAUGGAAGGCACACCUACAACAGGAAUGUUUCAGCAUCUACACCUAUGGGGCAGCAUGCCAUGUAACAAGAAAUCAGAGAAAGAGAGUCAUAGUGAAACCCAGGACAUAAGCAAGAAGAUAAAUUGGAUUGUUUCUAUAUCAAAUCAAGGCCUACAAAUGUGCAGAGACAUUCAAACCCAGGACGUUGUGAUUUACAAACAUCAAUAUUACAUCACUUUGAAUUUUCUUGGAACCGUUCUGAAAAAUCAGCCUCCGCUUUCUGUGUAUGUAUACGCUUGCAUAAACAAUAUAUACCAAUGACCUCCACUAAACAAUGGCAUUAAAAAACCAAGUUAACCACCAUUAGAACAAAUCUAGAUAAUAACAAAGAUAUAUCAGCUGAGCAAAAUAUGGAUGCUCAAGGCACGUGUAGAUACAAACUAUGGCCAAACUAUUUUAAGAGGACUUAAGAGGGCAAAUCUUCAAGCACUAUACGUAUCUAAGUCUGCACUAGUUUCCAUUAUAAACAAAUAAAACAAAGUAAAGGGCGGGAAAAGGUUUAUUUUUACAUACUGUCAGACGGAGGCAUUUACUACGUAAUAUCCUGAACUUGGUGACAUGUACUGUAAACAAGGAAUUCAUCAUCAAAUUGUGAUAUAUUAAAUUGAGGAAAGAUCAGGAGCCUACUUGUAUGUGCAUCAAUUAUAGAAGCGGAUGAAGUACAAGGAUGUCAGAUACUUCUAGUUACGCAUAUAAAAAAUAGUAUCAUCGAUUGUAUAAGCAGCUUGGCAUUAACCCAGUAACAAUCAAGCAUGAGUUGUACCAGAUUUUGAUUUUACCAAUAACCGAGAAUACAUAGUCGUCAGCUAUUUUGGCUUCUCGUUUUCCUUCCAAGUAGUCUUUUUCUUCCAAAGGGACUUGUCUUUCAUAACAAAACGUACAAAAAUACAACACGUAUAUUUAUUUGCUGAUAACAAAUGGGAUCAAACUAAGCAUUCCAUGGCAACAAGUAGCAGCCUCAUCUUGGUACAAUAGCAUGAAAAUUCACGUGGCAUAAUUUUCAUCAACUUGAUUGUGUGGAAAUCAAUAUGAUGGCUAUUUUCACCACAUAACAAAUAGAAAGUUUGCACAUAUUAUAUAACAGAGAAGCAGUGUAAUAGCAUGCCUAGUUAACAAACAAUCUACUCUUGGCCAAUCAAUUCAGUGAGAUGAAUGAAUUACUUUCCCUCCAUAAACAAAAAAAAUUGAAGGAACCAACAGGAGCAUCUCAUGGACAUUUACUUAUUAAACUAGUAGUUGCCUAGAGAACUAUCCAAGAGCACAGCAGAAAUCAUUUGGAAAGAAAAGAAAAUAAAGCGAGAGGGUCGACCUUCUUGUUAUGUGGGGAAUCAUGGUGGGCGGGGCAGAUGACCUCGCUGUCGAUCUCGUCCAGCUCGUGGGGCUUGAGCGUGGGGUCCUGGUCGGUGCCGUGCAUGGAUCUAGAGAGGGGGAGAGCUCCUGCUGACCUAAAUCAAAGGAAUAAAAGUCUAUUGGAAUGGGGAGAGAAGGAAGGAACGAAGGACAGAGGAAUCGAUGGGGAGAAGUAGGGAGGGACCCUGUGCGGUGCGUCGUCGUCGCCGGCGAGCUCGAGCUCGGGCCUCUCGCAGGUCACGGUCGUCGUCCUCUCCUCGUUCGGCGCUUGCUGCUGCGAAUCUCCGGAUGGUGAGGCAGCUUCACGACCUGGGAGAUGGAGCAGGGAGGCCCCUGCCACAGAUCCAUGGACCUGGUCCUUGGUUGUGAGCAGCAGAGGCGCGCCGCAGCGGCUAGGGUUAGCCACCGCUUCCAUCGGGCCACUACUGCCGCCGUCGCCAUGGAUCUCGGGCUGCCGUCAUCGAUUGGAGGCAGGGAGGUGGAGGCAGAGGACCGGGACGAGGAGAGGAGAGAUGUGGCGGCGGCGGAUGGAGGAAGGAGGAAGGAGAUUGGGGCAGUAGUGUGUUAGGUUUAGGUUAUAUAUACAGGAAACAUUUAGGGCUUUAGGCGGGCUUGCGGGGUUGUACUGGGCCGUUCAUGACGAUUUCAGAAACUGUCACCGGAAAUCCGUCAUGCAUUAACAGGUUUCUUGUAGUGAUUGAUCCCAAGUUUAAACCGGUCAGGCAGUAUCUUUGCCGCUUUAACGAAGAAAGACGCAAGGCCUUUGGUGAGGAGGUAGCCCGGCUAUUGGCUACUGGGUUUAUCAUUGAAGUAUUUCACCCUGAGUGGUUGGCAAAUCCGGUGCUUGUUCUUAAGAAAAACGGCACUUGGCGUAUGUGUGUGGACUACACAGAUUUAAACAAAGCCUGUCCAACAGAUCCUUUUGCUCUCCCGCGUAUUGAUCAGAUCAUUGAUGCAACAGCAGGUUGUGAUUGUUUGGGUUUCUUGGAUGCAUAUUCAGGUUAUCAUCAGAUCAAAAUGGCAGUUAAGGACUAGGAGGAAACAGCUUUCAUCACCCCCUUUGGAGCUUUCUGCUAUGUUUCGAUGCCUUUUGGGCUCAAGAGUGCCCAGGCAACCUACUAGCUUUGUGUGCAAAAUUGUCUUCACAAACAGGUUGGGCGUAAUGUGCAUGCCUAUGUGGAUGACAUUGUGGUAAAAUCCAGGAAGGAGGAAACCUUGAUAGAUGAUCUCAAGGAGACAUUUGACAACCUUCGGGUUUAUAAAAUAAUGCUCAAUCCGGAGAAGUGCGUUUUUGGUGUUCCGGCAGGCAAGCUCUUGGGAUUUCUUGUUUCCAACAGAGGUAUUGAGGCCAAUCCGGAGAAAAUCAAGGCGAUCACAUCCUUGGCUAAACCGGCGUGUAUCAAUGACGUUCAACGUCUGGCAGGCUGGAUCGUAGCCCUCAGCCGGUUUAUCAGCCGUUUGGGAGAGAAGGCGAUUCCUCUAUAUCAGAUGUUAAAGAAGAUAGAUAACUUUGUCUGGAGUAAUGCAGCCAAUACGGCCUUUGAGGACUUGAAGCGGCAGCUGGCUGAACCGCCGGUCCUUGCUGCUCCAGUUGAUAAUGAGCCCUUGUUAUUGUACGUAGCUGCCAAUGCCCGUGCGGUCAGCGUGGCGAUCGUAGUUGAGCGCAAGGAGGCUGGGAAGGAAUAUCCGGUUCAACGGCCAGUUUAUUAUAUUAGUGAGGUGCUGAUCGAAUCAAAGCAAAGAUAUCCGCAUUGGCAGAAGCUGGUAUAUGGAGUUUUUAUGGCCAGUAGAAAGCUCAAGCAAUACUUUUAGGGCCAUCCCAUCACAGUAGUUAGCUCUGCUCCUUUGGGUGAUAUAAUAUAGAACAGAGAAGCAACUGGCCGGGUUGUGAAGUGGGCAAUUGAGCUUAGUCCGCAUGGGUAAAGUAUGUGCCCCGGCGGCCAUCAAAUCUCAAGCACUUGUUGAUUUCAUCAAUGACUGGACCGAGUUGCAGGCACCAGAGGACAAACCGGAUAAUACAUAUUGGACUAUUCACUUUGAUGGGUCCCGGCAACUGGAAGGCUCGGGGGCUGGAGUUGUCCUUACUUCCCCUCGAGGUGAUAAAAUUCGUUAUGUUCUCCGCCUAAUGUUUCCUUGUACUAACAAUGCAGCAGAGUAUGAGGCCUUGCUUCACGGACUCCGUGUAGCUAAGGAAAUGAAUUUGAGCCGGGUUAGAUGCCUUGGAGAUUCCGAUUUGGUGGCUCAGCAAGUUUCUGGCACUUGGGAUUCUAAGGACCCACUCAUGGCGGCUUAUAGACGCGAGGUUGACAUGGUAGCAGGUCACUUCAAAGGUUAUCAGGUGGAGCACAUUGACCGGCGUAGAAAUGAAGCAGCAGACGCUUUAAGCCGGCUGGGGUCUCAGCGUAAACCGGUACCACCCAAUACCUUUCUUGAUAUCCUGCAUAACCCGUCUGUUAAGUUACCUUCAGAGGAGGAUUUAGCUGUUCCUGAUCCGGAGGCUCAAUUGGUGGCCGCUUUACAUAUCAUUCUGGAUUGGACAGUCCCAUAUCUGGCAUAUUUAAACCGGGGCGAGUUACCAGACGACGAGCUCUUUGCCAGGCAGAUAGUACGAAGGUCCAAGUCCAUGGUGGUUCGUAAUGGUGAGUUGCACCGUUGUAGCGUUUCAGGCGUAUUUCAACGUUGUGUUUCUCCUGAAGAAGGACAAGAGAUCCUACGAGAAAUCCAUGAAGGGGAUUGCGGUCAUCAUGCUGGUCCAAAGUCCUUGGUAGCAAAAGCUUUCCGUCAUGGGUUCUACUGGUUGACAGCUCAUGCUGAUGCGGAGGAUCUGGUAAAGCGAUGUGAUGCUUGUCAAAAAUUCUCACGGCGAUCUCAUGUUCCGGCUCAAGAGUUACUCAUGAUUCCUAUCACUUGGCCGUUUGCUACAUGGGGGCUUGAUAUGGUUGGACCCUUUAAGCGCUCUAAGGAUAAGAAGACACAUCUAUUGGUGGCGGUUGACAAGUUCACUAAAUGGGUUGAAGCGGAGCCCGUCAGCAAGUGUGAUGCAGCCACAGCGGUUCAAUUUCUUAAAAAGGUCAUUUUCCGCUUUGGUUUACCGCAUAGCAUCAUCACAGACAAUGGCACAAACCUAUCCAAAGGUGAGAUGGAGGAAUUUUGUCAACAGAACACAUCCGGCUCGACUUAGCAUCUGUGGCUCACCCCCAAACCAACGGUCAAGCUGGGCGGGCGAAUCAAGAAAUCUUGAAGGGCAUCAAGCCUCGACUUAUGGUUCCUUUGCAGCGCACACUGGGUUGUUGGGUGGAGGAGUUGCCGUCUGUGUUAUGGAGUAUAAAUACCACUCCAAACCGGUCUACGGGUUAUACCCCCUUUUUCAUGGUUUAUGGAGCUGAGGCUGUCAUCCCAAGUGAUAUUCGUCACGAUUCGCCGAGAGUUGUGAACUAUGUUGAAGCGGAUAAUGAGAAAGCGCGCCAGGAGGCGCUGGACCUAUUAGAUGAGAAACGGGACAUGGCUUUGGCUCGUUCGGCGGUUUAUCAACAAGACCUGCGGCGUUAUCACAGCCGCCGGGUUAAGACAAGAACCUUUCAAGAAGGUGACUUGGUGCUCCGGCUUAUCCAAGAUCAGACUGAUAUGCACAAGUUAUCCCCGCCUUGGGAAAGACCCUUUGUGGUCAGCAAAAAUCUGCACAACGGAUCAUACUACCUCAUUGACGUUUGAGACAACUCACGCAGCUCUGAGGAGGAGACCCGACGGCCAUGGAACAUAGCUCUUCUACAACCUUAUUACACUUAAAGUCACAGGCUUCUUUUAUGUAUAUAUUUCUGCUAUGUAUAUACUUUGAUUAAUAAACCGGCACCCUUGCUACAAGCAGGGUCUCCGCCGUUUUUUUCCUUCGAAAAUUUUGUGUACUUGGGGGCUUCAGCUUACAAAGCAAAUACCUACCUGUUAAACCGGCUAUUAUGCCACAACAUAAGCUUGGGAGCUUCACACCCAAGGGGCCAAAGAGUAUUGUUGCUAUGCACAGCUCAAACAUAGGCACCCAUUGAGCACAGCUCACAAAGCUACUUGGGGGCUCUUUGCAUCAAAUACCAAAGAGUUUGAAAGGACCCUUGUAACGGGGUAUCAACCCACGGGUUGGAAGCCUGGUGUAUUCACCUAAAACCCCAGGUUCACCUGCCUUCAUCAAGUAAGUCACUCCUAUCCAGGUAAUCCUGGCACGACCUGUCGAAUGUUUGACAGUCAUUCUCAUUGAGACGCUGAACUUGUCGAAGUUAAAACGAUGAUUGGUUAGUUGGAGGUCCAUCUUAAAAGGCUUUGUCAAAAUGGUUUAACUCAGUGGCCUGGCAGCCCAUGAAAAGCCUCGAAUUUGGGCCUGGCAGCCCUUGAAAAGCCUCGACUACAAGUUUUAUUUGCUUUUGCUUUUUGCUAAGUUUUUGGUUUAAUCAUGUUGUGUAUGUUAAACCGGUGAUUAUUAUCCCGGUACGGCUUACAGGUAUUCCUGUUAAAGCAGGCAAAUCAAGGUAAACCGGAAUUCCUUAAACCGGUCUGGCUUUGACAAGUGGUCGCCAGCGGUUAUACGGUGUUUAUUACAACCCGGCUAUAUCUCAUAUGUACCAGCAUUGCAUGGUGGAAAUAAGGUGUUUACUCUUACUAUAAUCAAAGUUGGUAUUCCAGCAAGUAUAUUUUCAUAUCACGGGUAUGAUUUACUUUUUAGCAACCUAGGUUGUCUAUCAAGUUGUGUUGGGCAUUUUGACCCGUCCGGCGGUAAACCGCCCGGACGGAUUUCUUCUGUGCAGACACAGGAGUUGCAUAAAAUUGCAAAGGAUUAUGAGCAACUACUGAAAAUUAUUACGGCGGAUCAAGAAAACAGUAUCGCAGUGCACGAUGGCAGCAGAUCAAAGUAUUUGUGCUAGCCUAUUACAAGGCGCUUUAAAGGCCCAAAAUAUGUUGUUUUUCAACAAGGUAAAAUCUACGACGAAUAAAACAGAUCGCCGGAUCAAGCUUCAUCUCCAUGUUGCCGUGAAGUAGAAGGAUUGUUUGACGUCGGUUCAGCCUCCUCCUCUUCCUCUAGUGGCUUGAAGUCCACGUUGGUCCAGUCAAUCCGGGUUAAGGCCUGAAAGACAGCUCUUCAUCGAUAAGUUCUGCCGGAUCAACAUCAGGGGCAAAAGUGUGCUUAUGGAUUGGCGGAAUCAGAUUUUGCACUUCUGGGAUGGCAGGGUUUAUCCGCUUGUUGUCUGCAUCAUAAAAAGACCGGUGCACAUCCAGAUUGGCGUCGUCCGCCAGUUGACUUGCCAGAGGGCGCAUUUCCUUUGUGACCUUUUUAAGGGCUUCAUCGUCAAACUCCGCCCCAUUCUCUUGUGUGCUGGGGAGGCCCUUGGCAAGGUCCGCCGGAUCAAGAUCAGCUAUCCAUGCUUUGGCCCGGGUAAGUGCUAACAAUGCGCCAGCUCUAGUAGCAGAUCGCUUUACCUCUCCUAUUUGUGUCGAAGUCAUGGACAGCCUUGCCAGAGUAUCCUUGAUCAGUAUUGGGGCCGGUUUGUUAUAAGAGGCUGCGCAGAUAACUCGUUGGGCACCGGUAUAUAGCUGUUCAAUCAAGGUGUAUGCAGCUUUCAGCUUCAUCCGUAUGUCAGAGCCCAGGUGGUUAAUGCGGCGACCUGCAGCGGUUUAAGAUAUGCUUUAGUUAAACCGCCAACUUACAAAAUGAUUAUAUUAAGUACUGAUGGGAGUACUUACCAAAGACAGCAGAAGUCAUAGCGUGCACUUGACGUUUCAGCCCCGACAGCUCUUCUACCACCGUUUAAGAGCCGCUUCAACGUCUUCAGCUCGCUUCAGCAGGGCAUUUCGCUCUGUCUCCCAGUUGGUACGCUUAGUCUUGAAUCCUUCUUUUAAUUGUUCCAUGGAAGUUAAAGCGGCUUUCAGCUCAUCCUUGGCCUUGGAAGACUCUUCUUGCUGGGAUUUGAUGCUUUCUUGAAGAUCAGCGAUUUGAGUGCAUUGGUGGUUUAUGUCAGCUUGCCAAAAUCAUAGGAGCAUAUAAGUAUUUUCAUUAAGUCCCAAGCAUAUAACUGGUUAUGUACUUGGCACUUGGGGGCUAAUGUGGAUUGCUUCUGUGUAACGGUUUGAUUUCAAGUCCCAAGGAUUAAUACAAGUUUUAAUCUUGGCACUUGGGGGCUAAUGCACAUUGGAUCAAGAGUAUAUACAAGGAAAUACUAAGAUUAAGCAUGGAAAAUCACAAGUCCCGGUUUAUCUUUGCAAGUUAAACCGGUACUUGGGGGCUACAAGGCAGUGAUUGUACAAGGGAAUAUUUACCUCAUAGUCGCGGCUUGUAUAUAGCCGGUUCAACAAUCCGGAAUGAAGUUCUUGAGCAGAGAGAUUGGUAUACUUGGACAGAUCAGUUUCCACCUUCCCCUUUCCCAUGGCUAUAAACUCCUCCUUGGCGGUGUGUUUUGCCAGGAUAACCGGAUUACUCGGAGCAGUAAAGCAUGUGCCGGUGACAACAACAUCGUCAUUAUACUUUGCCGGACUUGUUGUGACAACAGGACUUGGCGGAUUGGCAUUGGGGCUGGCAGGUGUAGCAUGUGGAGUUGAAGUGCCCACAUCUGGUUCCGGGUCAGCUUCUGGCGGGUUAGCAUUGACAAUUGGCUCUGGCAGAACAGAAUCAUCCAUGAUAUUGUCAAGAUUUUCAUCAGCAUUAUCAGGAGUCUUCUCCGGUUCAACCUCGCCAGAAGGAGUGUUGCUUUUAGCCUUUUUGCUCAAUCGAGCUUUGGCACUGAGUAUCAAAACAAGAUUUAGUAUGGUAAACCAAACUGUAAAGGGAAAAUGAGAAGCUAUAUACUUACCCAGGGACGGUUUUCAACGGAGGCAACUGGGUGGUUGACGAGCCGCCAGACGAGUUAGAAGACACCUGGUAAUUUGAGUCAGACGGAUUGGGAGGGCAUCGGAAGAAACCCUUCAAAGGAUAAAGUUUUUCAGGAGAACAAGCAACCUCUGGACGACGUUUCCGGGUUGGCGUAUGAGGUAAACCGGAAGAGGUGACUUGUUGACCGCUGUGCCGGGUUGUGCGGCGCCCUUCGGGUUGCUGUGUCUUUAAACAAAUUGUUGGAUCCAAAUGAGCAAGAGGGUGAGAGUGUUUAACUUUUCGAACUGCACGGCGAAAUCUUUGAACCGGCACAAGUUCUGAGUCGGAAAUACAUAUUACCUCAACAUGUUCUGCGUGGCUGGCCUCUGCAUCAUCCUGGGAGCAAUCAUUGUCAAUAAGGUGUAUAAAAUAAAGGCCAAGGGAGUCAAGUUCUACCUCUUCAGCUGACUCAUUAACAUCUUCUGGCACGUCAGAAGAUUCAGCAGUUUUCCUCUUGUCAGCUCUCUUGGUGACCUUGCUCUUAACACGAGGAGCCUUGGCCGGUUUAUCUUGAAGUUUCUUUUUCUAGAAGGAGCUAUCUGCCUGUAAGAUAGUGCAAAGGAUUAUUAUAACAAAGUUAAAGCGGAGCAGGGUCAAGGAAAUACAAAGCUAAAGUGUUUACCGCUGGCAGUUUGUUGGAGGCAUAGAAGGGGCGCAGACCGGUUUGAGUGCACACAGUGAGGUUUUCGUCAAGUAUCUUCUUCAAACUUUCAGUGACCUCAUCUUUAGUCAAUUCUAUUUGAUUGAACCGUUGCGGAUCAUAUGUCUUGUCAGUGUAUUCACACAUCAAACCGGGGCAGCGGCUUAAGGGCAGAAUGCACCAUGAAACCCAGCAACGUACAAGAUCAACGCUAGUUAAACCGUUGGCCAUAAAAGCUCGGAGCUUGACAAGUUGGGAAGCAUAGGCUUGACGUUCUUUAGCUGUCAACCGUGGAGGUAAAGGGUGGCUAUUGCUAAGCCGGUAUGGCCGGUAACCCGGCAGAGGGUUCUCAUCAGUAGGAGCAGUAUUUUGACAGUAAAACCACGUUUGGUUCCAGUCCUUUGGGUGGCUAUGAAGUUUGGCCUGAGGAAAUUCAACUUCUUUUAUCUUCUGAAUUGACACGCCGCCAAGUUCAGUAUUGGGGCCGUCAGCAAAUUCGGUCCGGCGGUAUAAAUGGAAGAGAUCCCGGAAUAGCUCCACAGUUGGCUCUUCCUGCAGAUAAACUUCACAGAAACCCUGGAAAUCGCAUAUAUUGGAUACCGAAUUUGGUCCUAUGUCUUGAGGAUGAAGUUGGAAGCUAGCAAGCACAUCCAGGAAAUUUUUUGAUCCAGGGGGAGUAAAACCUCGGCCCAGGUGUUGCAGGAAUACAAUCACCUCUCCCUCUUGGGGUUCAGGAGGGCAUUCAGGGCCAGGAACCCGCCACUGAAGAACAUUCUGUGGAGCUAAAGCGCCUGUGACGACAAAGUUGUUGAUCUGUGUCUCAGUAAUCCGGGAUGGGACCCAGUUACAGGCAGCAAAUUGCGGUGCCAUCGUACAAAGUCUGUAAAAAGUAAAAGGGCGGUUUAUAAUCGUUGAUCCAGGAGGUUUCAUCUAUGCUAAAUCGACAUAUAAUGUUAAACCAAAAAGUUAAUCAAAGUGUACAUACAAGGUGAACCGGGCAUUACUAUUCAAAGGUAUACGGCGAUUUAAGUGAGGGCUAAUGGCAUAUGAGGAAUUAUCAACUAUCACAGGUUAAACCACCCCUCAGUGAAAGGGGGCAGAUCUGAAAUCUACUAAGUGUUGACAGAAACAGGUUUCACAAGGCAGGAGUGUAAAUUUGGAUAUGCGGUGGUUCAGUAAGGAAAUUUUUCUCAGCCCUACAAUGGCGAUAAAGAGGAACAAACAGUCCCGAGACAGUUCUUUUAAAAAACAGCAAGAGGGUGUGAUGUGAUACUUCUCCAACGUAUCUAUAAUUUUUGAUUGCUCCAUGCUACUUUAUCUACUGUUUUGGACUAUAUUGGGCUUUAUUUUCCACUUUUAUAUUACUUUUGGGACUAACCUAUUAACCAAAGGCCCAGCCCAGAAUUGCUGUUUUUUUUGCCUAUUUCAGUAUUUCGAGGAAACAAAAUAUCAAAUGGAGUCCAAACGGAAUGAAACCUUCGGGAACGUGAUCUUCUCACCGAACGUGAUCCAGGAGACUUGGACCCUACUCCAAGAAGUUUUCGGGGAGGUCACGAGGGUGGAGGGCGCCCACCCCCUGGGCGCACCCCCUGCCUCAUGGGCCCCUCGGAGCUCCACCGACAUGCUCCUUCCUCCUAUAUAUACCUACGUACCCCCAUUAGACUAGGGACGGAGCCAAAAACCUAAUUCCACCGCCGCAACUUCCUGUAUCCACGAGAUCCCAUCUUGGGGCCUGUUCCGGAGCUCCGCCGGAGAGGGCAUCCAUCAUGGAGGGCUUCUACAUCAACACCAUAGCCCUUCCGAUGAAGUGUGAGUAGUUUACUUCAGACCUUCGGGUCCAUAGCUAGUAGCUAGAUGGCUUCUUCUCUCUUUUUGGAUCUCAAUACAAUGUUCUCCCCCUCUCUCGUGGAGAUCUAUUCGAUGUAAUCUUCUUUUUGCGGUGUGUUUGUUGAGAGCGAUGAAUUGUGGGUUUAUGAUCCAACUUAUCUAUGAAUAAUAUUUGAAUCUUCUCUGAAUUCUUUUAUGUAUGAUUGAGUUAUCUUUGCAAGUCUCUUCGAAUUAUCUGUUUGGUUUGGCCAACUAGAUUGGUAGUUCUUGCAAUGGGAGAAGUGCUUAGCUUUGGGUUCAAUCUUGCGGUGUCCUUACUCAGUGACAGAAAGAGUUGCCAGGCACGUAUUGUAUUGUUGCCAUCGAGGAUAACAAGAUGGGGUAUUUAUCAUAUUGCAUGAAUUUAUUCCUCUACAUCAUGUCAUCUUGCUUAAGGCGUUACUCUGUUUUUAACUUAAUACUCUACAUGCAUGGUGGAUAGCGGUCGAUGAGUGGAGUAAUAGUAGUAGAUGCAGGCAUGAGUCGGUCUACUUGUCACGGACGUGAUGCCUAUAUACAUGAUCAUACCUAGAUAACCUCAUAACUAUGCUCAAUUCUAUCAAUUGCUCAACAGUAAUUUGUUCACCCACCGUAGAAUAUUUAUGCUCUUGAGAGAAGCCACUAGUGAAACCUAUGGCCCCCGGGUCUAUUCUCAUCAUAUCAAUCUCCAUUACUUUAUUUUACUUGUUUUGUUUUUACUUUUCACGUUGCAUCUUUAUACCAAAAAUAUUAUCUCUAUCAGAUCUCACUCUCGUAAGUGACCGUGAAGGGAUUGACAACCCCUAAGCGUUGGUUGCGAGUUGCUACCGUUUUGUGCAGGUACGAGGGACUUGCGCGUGACCUCCUACUGGAUUGAUACCUUGGUUCUCAAAAACUGAGGGAAAUACUUACGCUAUCGUGCUGCAUCACCCCCUCCUCUUCGGGGAAAACCAAUGCUAGCUCGAGACGUAGCAAGAAGGAUUUCUGGCGCCAUUGUCGGGGAGGCCUACGCAAAAGUCAACAUACCAAGUACCCAUCACAAUCUCUAUCUCUCGCAUUACAUUAUUUGCCAUUUGCCUCUCGUUUUCCUCUCCCCCACUUCACCCUUGCCGUUUUAUUCGCCCUCUCUUUCCCUUUGCCUUUUGUUUGCUCGUGUGUUAGUUUGCUUGCUUGUCGUGAUGGCCCAAGAUGCUACCAAAUUGUGUGACUUCACCAAUACCAAUAACAAUGAUUUCCUUUGCACUCCGAUUGCUCCUCUUGCCAAUACUGAAUCUUCUGAAAUCAAUACUGCUUUGUUGAAUCUUGUUAUGAAAGAUCAAUUCGUCGGCCUUCCUAGUGAAGAUGCCGCUACUCAUCUAAAUGGCUUCUGUUGAUUUAUGUGAUAUGCAAAAGAAAAAGGAUGUCGAUAAUGAUGUCGUUAAAUUGAAGCUAUUUCCUUUUUCGCUUAGAGAUCGUGCUAAAGCGUGGUUUUCUUCUUUGCCUAAAAAUAGUAUUGAUUCUUGGAACAAGUGCAAAGAUGCUUUUAUCUCUAAGUAUUUUCCUCCCGCUAAGAUUAUCUCUCUUAGGAACAAUAUUAUGAAUUUUAAGCAACUUGAUCAUGAACAUGUUGCACAAGCUUGGGAGAGAAUGAAAUUAAUGCUACGUAAUUGUCCUACUCAUGGUUUGAACUUAUGGAUGAUUAUACAAAAAUUUUAUGAUGGAUUGAAUUUUGCUUCUAGAAAUCUUUUAGAUUCGGCCGUGGGAGGCACUUUUAUGGAAAUCACUUUAGGAGAUGCUACUAAACUCCUAGAUAAUAUUAUGGUCAAUUAUUCUCAAUGGCAUACUAAAAGAUCUACUAAUAAAAAAGUGCAUGCUAUAGAAGAAAUCAAUGUUUUGAGUGAAAAGAUGGAUGAACUUUGGAAUUUAUUUGUUAAGAGUGUUUCUUCUGAUCCCAAUAAUAUGCCUUUAUCUACUUUGCUUGAGAAUAAUAAUGAAUCUAUGGAUGUGAAUUUUGUUGGUAGGAAUAGUUUUGGUAACAACGCGUAUAGAGGGAAUUUUAAUUCUAGGCCUUAUCCUAGUAAUCCUUCUAAUAAUUAUGGAAAUUCCUACAACAACUCUUAUGGAAAUUUUAAUAAGAUGCCCUCUGAAUUUGAGAGUAGUGUUAAAGAGUUUAUGAAUUCGCAAAAGAAUUUCAAUGCUUUGCUUGAAGAGAAAUUGCUUAAAGUUGAUGAUUUGGCUAGGAACGUUGAUAGAAUUUCUCUUGAGGUUGAUUCUUUAAAGAUUAGAUCUAUUCCUCUUAAGCAUGAUAUCAAUGAGUCUCUCAAAGCCAUGAGAAUUUCCAUUGAUGAGUGCAAAGAAAGAACCGCUAGGAUGCGUGCUUACAAAGAUGCCUUUAUUAAAGCGUGUUCUUCUAAUUCCUAUGAAAAUCAAGAUGAAGAUCUAAAGGUUAUUGAUGUGUCCCCUAUUAAAUCUUUGUUUUGCAAUAUGAAUCUUGAUGAAUCUGAUUAUGAUCUUCCCUUACCUAGAAGGCGUUCUAAGAAUUCUGAGUUUUUAGAUCCUGAUGAUGAAAUUGAUAAAAAAGGGAUUGAAAGAAAUAAAAAUCUAGAUAUUGCUAAACCCACUAUUUUGGAUCUCAAGGAAUUUAACUAUGAAAAUUGCUCUUUAAUUGAUUGUAUUUCCUUGUUGCAAUCCGUGUUAAAUUCUCCUCAUGCUUAUAGUCGAAUAAGGCCUUUACCGAACACAUUGUUGACGCCUUAAUGCAAUCUUAUGAAGAAAAGCUUGAGUUGAAAGUUUCUAUCCCUAGAAAACUCCAUGAUGAGUGGGAACCUACAAUUAAGAUUAAAAUUAAAAAAUAUGAGUUUCAUGCUUUGUGUGAUUUGGGUGCUAGUGUCUCUACUAUCCCCAAAGCUUUGUGUGAUUUGCUAGAUUUCCGUGACUUUGAUGAUUGCUCUCUAAACUUGCAUCUUGCGGAUUCCACUAUUAGAAAGACCAUGGGAAGAAUUAAUGAUGUUCUUAUUGUUGCAAAUACGAAUUAUGUGCCCGUGGAAUUUAUCGUUCUUGAUAUAGAUUGCAAUCCUUCAUGUCCUAUUAUUCUUGGUAGACCUUUCCUUAGAACGAUUGGUGCAAUUAUUGAUAUGAAGCAGACUAAGGCAUAGCCUAGUGGUGAGAAGGGGCUGAUUCCUUCCCACCCACCCAGGUUCAAGGCAUGGUACUUGCAAUUUGGGUUUGUUGCACCAAUUAUACUGUAAGGGGUUCCCUUACAGUCUUUCUGUCAAAAAAAAUUAUUGAUAUGAAGGAAGGGAAUAUUAAAUUCCAAUUUCCCUUAAAGAAGGGCAUGGAACACUUUCCUAGAAAGAAAAUAAAAUUACCAUAUGAAUCUAUCAUGAGAGCCACUUAUGGAUUGCCUACCAAAGAUGGCAAUACCUAGAUCUAUCCUUGUUGGGAGGCAACCCAAUUUUAUUUUGUGUUUUUUGUUUUUGGUUCUGUUUAGGAAUAAAUAAUCCAUCUAGAUUCUGUUUAGAUGUGGUUUCAUCUUUUAAUUAGUGUUUGUGCCAAGUUAAACCUAUUAGAUCUUCUUGGAAGAUAGUUAUUUGAUCUUGCUGUAAUUUCCAGAAUCUUUGCGCUCAAUGCCCGAAUUGUUAAAAAUCACCAGAACGUGAUAAAAUAGUGAUUCUAAUUGCUGCUGAUCGAUGAACAAAUUGCCCAGUUCGUCUAAUUUUGGUAGAAUUGUUUGGGUUCCAGAAGUUUGCGUUAGUAACAGAUUACUACAGACUGUUCUGUUUUUGACAGAUUCUGUUUUGCCUGUGUUGUUUGCUUAUUUUAAUGAAUCUAUGGCUAGUAAAAUAGUUUAUAAACCAUAGAGAAGUUGGAAUACAGUAGGUUUAACACCAAUACAAAUAAAUAACAAGUUCACUACAGUACCUUAAAGUAGUCUUUUGUUUUCUUUCUCUAACGGAGCUCACGAGAUUUAUAUUGAGUUUUGUGUUGUGAAGUUUUCAAGUUUUUGGUGAAUUCUUUUGAGGGAUUAUGGAACAAGGAGUGGCAAGAGCCUAAGCUUGGGGAUGCCCAUGUCACCCCAAAGAUAAUCCAAGGACACCAAAAAGUCAAAGCUUGGGGAUGCCCCGGAAGGCAUCCCCUCUUUCGUGCACUUCCAUCGGUAAUUUACUUGGAGCUAUAUUUUUAUUCACCACAUGAUAUGUGUUUUGCUUGGAGCGUCUUGUAUUAUUUGUGUCUUUGCUUGUUAGUCUACCACAAUCAUCCUUGCUGUACCCACCUUUUGAGAGAGCCAUGCAUGAAUUGAAAUUUGUUAGAAUACUCUAUGUGCUUCACUUAUAUCUUUUGAGCUUGAUAGUUUACACUAUGUGCUUCACUUAUAUCUUUUUGAGCGUGAUAAUUUUUGCUCUAGUGCUUCACUUAGAUCUUUUAGAGCACGGUGGUGGAUUGUUUUAAAGAAACUUGAUCUCUCAUGCUUCACUUAGAUUAUUUUGAGAGUCGUUAAUAGCAUGGUAAUUUGCUUAAUGUUAAUAUACUUGGUAUUCAAGAUAUGUGAAACUUUCUUUUUAGUGGGUUGAAUACUAAGAUAAGUUUGAUGCUUGAUAAUUGUUUUGAGAUAUGGAGGUGAUAAUAUCAUAGUCGUGCUAGUUGAGUAGUUGUGAAUUUGAGAAAUACUUGUGUUGAAGUUAGCAAGUCCCGUAGCAUGCACGUAUGGUUAAAGUUGUGUAACAAAUUUGAAGCAUGGAGUGUACCUGGCUUGUGCGUCCUUAUGAGUGGCGGUCGGGGACGAGCGAUGGUCUUUUCCUACCAAUCUAUCCCCCUAGGAGCAUGCGCGUAGUACUUGAUUUUUGAUGACUUCUAAAUUUUUGCAAUAAGUAUAUGAGUUCUUUUGACUAAUGUUGAGUCAAUGGAUUAUACGCACUUUUACCUUUCCGCCAUUUGCUAGCCUCUUCGGUACCGUGCAUUGCCCUUUCUCAAUUGAGAGUGUUUGCAAACUUCGCCGGUGCAUCCAAACCCCGUGAUAUGAUACGCUCUUUCACACAUAAACCUCCCUAGAUCUUCCUCAAAACAACCACCAUACCUACCUAUCAUGGCAUUUCCAUAGCCAUUCCGAGAUAUAUUGCCAUGCAACUUCCACCACCAUCAUCAUCAUCAUCAUCAUGACAUGCUUUACUUUUGUCAUAUUGCCAUUGCAUGAUCUUGUAAUUUACAUCGUAUUUGUGGCAAAGCCACCAUGCAUUAUUUUUCAUACAUGUCACUCUUGAUUCAUUGCACCAUCCCGGUACACCGCCGGAGGCAUUCAUAUAGAGUCAUAUCUUGUUCUAGUAUCGAGUUGUAAUCAUUAUGUUGUAAUCAAUAGAAGUGUGAUUAUCAUCAUUAUUAGAGCACUGCCCAAUCAAAAAAAAGAGAAAGGCCAAAAAAAAGAAAGGCCCAAAAAAGAGAGAAAAAAAAAGGCAAUGCUACUAUCUCUUUUUCCACACUUGUGCUUCAAAGUACCUAGAUAACCUCAUAACUAUGCUCAAUUCUAUCAAUUGCCACGGACGUGAUGCCUAUAUACAUGAUCAUACCUAGAUAACCUCAUAACUAUGCUCAAUUCUAUCAAUUGCUCAACAGUAAUUUGUUCACCCACCGUAGAAUAUCUAUGCUCUUGAGAGAAGCCACUAGUGAAACCUAUGGCCCCCGGGUCUAUUCUCACCAUAUCAAUCUCCAUUACUUUAUUUUACUUGUUUUGCUUUUACUUUUCACUUUGCAUCUUUAUACCAAAAAUACCAAAAAUAUUAUCUCUAUCAGAUCUCACUCUCGUAAGUGACCGUGAAGGGAUUGAAAACCCAUAAGCGUUGGUUGCGAGUUGCUACCGUUUUGUGCAGGUACGAGGGACUUGCGCGUGACCUCCUACUGGAUUGAUACCUUGGUUCUCAAAAACUGAGGGAAAUACUUACGCUACUGUGCUGCAUCACCCCCUCCUCUUCGGGGAAAACCAACGCUAGCUCGAGACGUAGCAUGAUGUAAUAGACUGAAGUCGUGGAUCUAGCUACAAAGAACACUACCAGGUAUCACUAGGUUCGGUAAAAAGGAUAAUGGAAAGGAAGAAAAGCAUCGAUGAACUACGAUGAACAGGGAAGAACAAGGAACUCUAAACAGGAGAUCUAGGGUUAUGAAAAGGAAAUUUACCAGGACCAUGAAGCAGCGGAGGAGCGUCGCCGGAGUGCUGGUACGAACAGGAUGAUGCAGCGGCCUUAGUCGGUGCGGAUUCGAAGAUCGACAACGGUGGCGGCAGCGCUGGAGUUCUUCGUGUCGCGAGGAAGAAGAAGGGCGCAAGGGGGAAAAUAGAAGGACCCCCGGCCCUAUUUAUAAAGGCAAGAGGAUAAACGGCAGGCGCGAAAAUCCAGGAGCCUGAAGCGGCAAAAGAGGGUGCAGCUGGCGCCUCGAUUUUCGGGAUAAUUAAGAGGAAGGGAUCUUUUUAUAAUCUUCUAUGAGGAAUGACGUCACAAUAAAUUACGUUAACAAAAAAGGAUGAUGUCACGACGGUUCACCAAACAUCCAUGGAAAGGUGAUGACAUGGCGGUUUAUGAAAGGCAUUUAAGGAGUUUUUCUUCUAAGGAUUGAAGAUUAACAUGAUCAAGAUCAAGUCAAUCUGGGGCCUAAUGUGGAGGAUAUAACUACUAAGGGUAAACCGUCCAGGAGGGGCUGGUUCACCUUUAGUUACUUUGAAGCCCAAGGAAAUUCAGGAGACGGCGCUUUACUGAUGAAACUAGGAGGCCCAGAGCCCAAGGGCGGAAUAGGGCCCAUGUUGGUAAACCACCAUGAUUGUACAAACUUGUGUAAUAAGAUAGGAACGGAGAGACCGAGGCGGACACUUGUAUGAGCCAACCUCGGGACUCUGUAAACCGGCCGGGGUCCUCCUGUGUAUAUAAAGGGGUGACCCGACGGCGGUUCAGGAGAGAGAACAACAACUCGAGAUCCAGGCAAGCGCAUUCGCUCCCUGAUCAUCGAACCCAAUCAAUUCCAUCACAACUAGACGUAGGCUUUUACCUUCAUCGAAGGGGCCGAACUAGUAUAAAACUCCCGUGUCCCUUGUCCGGUUUAACCCCUUCAAGCUAACCCGUAGCGAUGGCUCCGUGACUAAGUCCUUUCAAGAGGACAUCUGACGUGACAAUUCCACGACACUAGGGUUAGGUUUACCUUAAUUCUUCUUUCGUAGUUGUGAAUGCUUGCGAGAGGGGUUAAUCAUAAGUGGUAAGCUUGUCCAAGGAAGGGCAGUACCCAAGCACCGGUCCACCCACAUAUCAAAUUAUCAAAGUAACGAACGUGAAUCAUAUGAGCAUGAUGAAAACUGGCUUGACGAUAAUUCCCAUGUGUCCUCAGGAGCGGUUUGCUUUAUAUAAGAGUUUGUCCAGGCUUGUCCUUUGCUACAAAAAGGAUUGGGCCACCUUGCUGCACCUUGUUUACUUUUGUUACUUGUUACCCGUUACGAAUUACCUUAUCACAAAACUAUCUAUUACCGAUAAUUUUAGUGCUUGCAGAGAACACCUUACUGAAAACCGCUUGUCAUUUCCUUCUGCUCCUCAUUGGGUUCGACACUCUUACUUAUCGAAAGGACUACGAUAGAUCCCCUAUACUUGUGGGUCAUCAAGACUCUUUCCUGACGCCGUUGCCGGGGAGUCAAUCGCCUUUGGUAGGUUGAAUUUGGUAUGGAAAAAUUUAUAUAGUGUGCUUAAAUCGUCAAUGGAUCCAUGGUUGAUGGUUGUUUGAUUUUUCGAACCUCAUUGGGAGGAAAAGGCGGAAGACUGAUGGACUGCUGUGUUGUUUCAUGCAUACAAGAGGAUCUAAGCCCAAAGAUGAGUACUACAGCCCUCCCCACGCCACCCCCCGGCGACUGCGGUGGCUCUCGCCACUCCAAGAAUCCAACAUCAUCGGCGGCGGUCCGGUUUCACAGACCGGCGAGGCUGUUUAUCCCUCAGAGGCGCAGCUAUCAUUCAGGUGAACCGCUCGGCCUCACCCAUCUACACCCCCCUUCCCUUGGCGAUUGCAUUUAGAUCUCGAUUUGGCGUAUAAACUUACAAAUCCUUACCUGCUUAUCUAUCUCCCAGUAUCAAUGUCUGACUCCGCCGCCCGGGGCGAGAUUAGUCCUAACCAUACACUCCAAUUAGACCCUGUGGCGCUCAAACAAUCUGCAAGCAGAGCGUCUAGUUCAGUUUGUCCCUUAGAUGGCCUGCCACCAAAUACAACAUCCAAGAGCUCUGUCUGGCACGUUGUCACUGUCAUCGAGUAUUUUACCGUGUUUAAAUGCUGGUUAGUGAAAGAAAUAGGAUUUGGAGGAAUUAAUGCUUUAACUGCCAACGAUCCAGAAAUUAAACCUUAGGCUCAGGUCCUGGUGCAUGAGCAAGGUAGAUGUUCGGUGUAGAGCAAUAGUCAUCAGCAACACAAAUUUUCUAAAAUUCAACUGCACUUGUUAUGCUUCCAGGGGUUUUCUCAGAUUGCCCACUCAAAGCCGCAAUUGCCGCAAGAAGAUUCAGUUGACCAGCAUACCUGUAAUUUAGAAGACAUGUUCAGAACCCCUGCAACUUCCAAAAUACAUGGACUCAGGCUAGAUUUGUCUGACUAUGAGGGUAAUUUUUUUGUCGCAUGAUAACUUCAGUUUAAACAUUUCUAUGCCUCAACUGCAAACCAUUUAGGUAUACUUCAUACCAUGAUGCACAGGAGAGAGCUCUUCUCACAAACAGAAACCGCCUAAACGGAUGAGGCCAUCUGGCUCAACUUCACGCCCACAACAAUCUCCCCCCGCCCAAUGUCCCAACAACUAAUCUGGCAAUGAGCUUUGCACCAUCGAAGCAAUUUGUUACGUGGUCCAGCGCUAUGCAAAGUGCAUACCUGAUUCAGUUAAGGACAUAUACGCCGACGCUUGCUGCCUUGCUCCCACUGUACCACAUAAGUCAUAACUAUUUGCAGGCGCUUGCUCUAUCCGGCACAAGUGUUGCUGAUUUCCUAGAGAUACAGAAUCAGUUUGUUGGCCAAACAGUCAAGCACGCCAUUGAGGUGUCCCAACUGGUAAUAAUCCAUUUCUUUCAACUUGCUCCCACUGAUCCAGUUUAAUUUUUCAAUCACUGAAACACAAAUAUACCACAGAUUUGCAUCAAACAGCCGUGUAGUUCUACAUCCCAACAAUCAUACGUGACAGAUGGGCGUUGUAUAUUUGGUACAUGCUUACCAGGGUUAUACAAGUGUAUGACCCAGCAGGCUCGCCACGAGCUUAUUGCAUCUGGCCUGCAUGAUGCAUUGUUCGGGUGCUUAAACGACUUAUAUGCUGGGUGGCCAACCCCAAUAGGGUUUAUUACACUUUCUUCUUUUUCUUUUAUUAAACUUUUGUCUUUUUGUUUUAUUACACUUACGUCUUUUUUAUCCCUGUUAGUGAACUAUUCGGAACAUCCCUAUGCAAAAACCAUAUUUCUCACCACGUCUUCCAUUUCUCUCAUUUGCCAGAGUAACCUGAUGAAAACCAAGAGAAACUUACUUUCAAGAGGUGAUGAAGCUUUACGCCAACCAGUCAUCUUUGCCGUCCGAUGCAAUAUGGUCAGUCUAUGCUCCCACCAAAUGGGUUUGAAGACAUCCUGUGAUGACAGGCAUCUAGUGUCCGCCAAACUCUGUCUUUUGCAUGUCUAGUUUGUUGCUGAUUAGACGAUUAUGCACUUCAGCCAACUAUGUUGUACUGGAACACCGACCCUGUUUUAUCUACCCUUUCAUGAACCAGCUACCUAAUCAUACAACAAAUUACUAUUCGUCAUGUAUUUCAUCUUUGUCAUGACCUAUAUCACAUCUUGGUUCACCAUUUUUGGGCCAACACAUCCUUACCGGAGCAUUCCCUAUCUUUGAUUAAGUCCACCCGCUGCACAGAAUGUUUUAGUAGCAUAAACAUCCGUCCAAUAAUGCAUAACUUUUGUUUCCAAAUUAGCUUAUAUUUAUACCGCACUAACCCACAUAUUAUGGUUUCUCCCUAAAUAACACAGAUGACAUUUGUCUCCCCUAUUUUCUCUAUAAUAUAGAUAGAGACACCCCUCACGCAUGUCCAACAACAUCUCAAAUCACAACUUAAUUAGUUUGAACAUGCAUACUUAACUGGAUACACUUGUAGUUCAUACGUGCUACCAUGUCUCCACUCGAAACAGAACACUAUAAUUGGUUUAGUCUUGCCCAUGCAUGGCUCCUGAGAAAAAUAUUUUUCUACCUAGCAGCCAUAACCCAGCCAGACGAGUGCCCGCUUCUCACUCCCCUGCCCCUCCUGGCACGUGGGCCAGUAUAACGGAUGUCACCAUCGCAACCAGACACAUGUACCACGUGUACAGAGUACAUGUGCGUCAGAGCACGUUAUAGAGCCAACGCCCGUCCGCUCCAUCGUUAGCUUCCGUGUGUACGUACACAGUGUGGUGUCAGUGUAUACCUCAUUUUUAUUCCUGUAUUGCAGUGACAGUGACAUGCGGCACAGAUCUCAAAGCAUAUCUAGGCGGCUCAGAUUCCAGGUUCACCUGGACCCGGGAGCCAAAACGCCUCUCCCUAUACAGCAGACACCUGAUAUUUAUUUAUUUAUAACUGUGUAGUACAAUUACUAUUUCUGAGAUAGCAAGUGUGAUGGCUGCAAGAAUCCAUGCGGCACCAGCUACUACUGAUGAUACGACAUUGUCGGAGAAUAUCGAUGCCUUUUCUAAUGCACAACAAGAAUAUGAUCCGAUGACCAACAUUUAAAGUUUAAAAACAAGGUGGAAGGAGCGGCAGUUUGAGAGGAUCAGCAGAUGGAAGAAGGCACAAAGGUAACUUAGAGAAGCUAAUAAGUGUCUUCCAAUGCUCUCUUAUAAGUGUCUUGUAUUCUUCCAAUGCUCUCUUAUAAGUGUCUUGUAUUCUUCCAAUGCUCCUGAUCAGGGUAAUUUGAGAGGAUCAGCAGAUGGAAGUAAUAUUCUUGAGGUGAAUAAAUCUAUUCAAGUGAUAAGUGAUACGAAGCUCGUAGAUCAGUCUAUUUUUUUUGGCUAGCACGGAGAAGUCUGACAGCAUGCUACAGAAAUUUUAGGUUAUAAGGUUAUUCAGGAGCUGCUGUGAGAUGAUAAUGGGGACGUAGAUAGUUGUGUUAAGUGUUUAGCUUCAGUAAGUAGACCUAAUUAGCUGUUUUCCCCAUGUAGAAGUAGACCCAAACCUACGUGUUUGUAGUGCUUCAGAAACAGUGGAUCACUUAUUCCUUUUGCACCCUGUUUCCAAAUAUUUGUACAGUGCGACUGAGUGCAGACUGAACAUUCAGGUUGUUUUCUGUUUCUUUCUGUGAUUUGUGUGGUUCAAUUUCUGAAGUUUACUGGAGAUGUUAGAAAUUUGAUGGUUGUUGGACUAGUUGAUUUGGUUUGCACUACAAGGAACCUGCAAUAUCAGUUUCUAACUUUUAAAUGGUGGAUUGGAUCCUCAGGUACUAGACAGAAUGCUACGGCUGUGGACUCCGUCUGCUGAAUAUGUUGAAGUUGUACCAACAAGUUCCUCUGUACUUUUACUUCUAGUAGAUGAGCUUGUUUUCAUGUAUCCUGAUUUGGUGGUCCGGGUCCACUUUGACAUGCCUGAAUUUCAUACAACUUUACCAGGUCCCCCAUUCAGUUACAAUUACAGUUAUAGGAUCAUCUAUCUGUAUGUUGUUGGCAAUGUUAUAUGUUACUACAUUUUACAGAGUUUAUGUCAAUCAUCCAUCAAGAAUGGAUCUGUGUAUAAAAGCUCUUCCCUCCAAAACAUAUUAAUUGUCGUUGAUUUACUACAACUUUCUACUAAAUCAGUGACGAUUAAUAUGGAUCGGACAGAGUACUCUAAUAUGGACGGAGAGGUGGGCAGCCUCUUAUAUGGAGUAUAUAUACCCCAAUGUCUGAACUAAGAAUUGGUACAGCAAGUGGAUGUCUUGUUAGAGAAAGACAAAAAGAAAAAGAAAAUGUAGACUGCUCUGCUCCAGCGAUUUCAUCUGCUCUAGAAUGUGUUGCGAUAAAAAAUCAGGAUUCAGGAAGCCUAGCUUUUUCCUUUUUUGAGGGGUUCAGGAAGCAUAGCUGCCAUGCGUCUCUCCACAGGAGCCCAGGAUGGCACCGACGCCGGCUACCGCUACGGCUCCUGGUGACCUCCGCCAUCGCCUUUGGAAGAAACACAUGCCCCACACGUGUGCUCGCUCGAGUCACCGCGCGGAUCAGACGGCCACUGAAAAUUCAGAGACGAUUUGGUAAAAAAAAAUUUCUUUUUGGUGGCUCUGUUUUCUCAACUCUGCUCUGUCCUGCACUAGUUAGCUUCCCCUGCUUUUGCUCUGUUUUCUCAACUCUCAAUACUUUCCUGUAUCUUGAGGUUUCAGAGAUGAGAGAUGUUGCCUGCUGCUAUCUGCCCUCUCUUUCUUUUCAGUCCACCAUAAGUGCCUCAGCUCAAGCGCUGGGCUAGCUUGGUGCCAGCACGGCUGAAGUGGAGAGAGCGAAGAUCGAGUCCACUUACUGGACAUCUACAAACGGGGAAAACUCUAUCCAAUUCCAGUUUUAUAUAUCAUUGUUCUAACAUUCAGAUCCUUGACAUCAUCAUAACAGAUGUGAAACUAUAUAUGCUUGGAAAGAUUCUAAGUACUUGCCCUUGAUCCUGCGUUCCAUCAAUAUUAAGUUCUGCUUUUUUCGACAAAGACUGGAUUUUAUUCACUUAAAAUGGAGCAUGAGAAAAAUGCAAGCACAACAAGCACACACACAGCCUCUGCAUAACUAGGAUGCUCACAACCAACAUUAACACAUGCACAUAAAAACACGUCGAUAAAAUAGCAAAGCCAUAUAAGACCCAAAAUAAGUGUAGGCGAGAAAAAAAACAUCAAACGAUUAGAUCCGCGAUUGGUAAACUAGAGUAAUGAUCAUAUCCGCACCAACCAAACUAUGGAUGUACACAACGUUUUUAGCAUGAGUAUCAAGUUAAGCAUGCUCCUCAAAGAUUUUUAAUGAGUACCAAGAUUUUAUCUUGAUGAAUGAUCACAGCACACAUCAAGCUUGAUCCUCAAUAAAUGGGAAAAACCCCUGCACAUCACCUACUUAAGCUUGAUCCCCAAUAACUAUCGCGACUGCAGUAAGUGGUGUUGACAACGCACUGACUUCAAUUUAGUGGUGCUUUUGAGUACCAGUCUUGAGCUCUAGGGUGAACACCAGAGGUCUGACCCUAAUUUAGUUCAUAUAUAAUGUAGAUGUCUAUGUAUGCAUCUUUUUUUCUUCCUUCUUCCUCUUUUUUUUAUCGGGAACGAGGGUCGUCGAGGGUCGCCGAGCGGUAGAGAGGAAACCCUAAUUAAAUAGCAAGUAUCUUCGGUGUGAGAUACAUACGGCCGUCGGUGUCGGACACUACAUCCACGUCCCACAAGUGACGCGGGCGUCGAUGCCCACGUCACUUGUGGGACAUAGAUGUAGUGUUCAACGCCGACGCCGACGUCUCUUUCUUUUUUUUUCUAAAAUUUCUAUUUGAACAUUAUUUAAAAAAAAGCAAUACUACUUCAUGUAUUUUUAAGAAGGAAGAAGAAGAAAAAAGAAUGAAAGGAAAAAGGAAAUAAGAAGAGGAAGGAAGGAGAAGAAGAGGGGAGAGGAAGACGAGGAGAAAUAAAUAAGAAGAAGAAAAAAGAAGAAAAAGAAGAGGAGAAGGAGAAAGGAAUAGAGGAGAAGUAUUUUCUCUUCUUCUCCUCUAUUCCUNNNNNNNNNNNNNNNNNNNNNNNNNNNNNNNNNNNNNNNNNNNNNNNNNNNNNNNNNNNNNNNNNNNNNNNNNNNNNNNNNNNNNNNNNNNNNNNNNNNNNNNNNNNNNNNNNNNNNNNNNNNNNNNNNNNNNNNNNNNNNNNNNNNNNNNNNNNNNNNNNNNNNNNNNNNNNNNNNNNNNNNNNNNNNNNNNNNNNNNNNNNNNNNNNNNNNNNNNNNNNNNNNNNNNNNNNNNNNNNNNNNNNNNNNNNNAUGUCGUCGUUGUCGAUAUACCCCCUCCCGAUAGCUUCAACACGUGGGGGGGGGUCGAUAUUACCCCCUCCUUGAAGCAUUCUCGAGGCCACCCCUAACCCUUGAAGCGUUGUCGAGGCCACCCGAAACCCUAGAGAAGCAGCGUCGAGGCCACUAAUUAAUAUGAUUCCUUAUUGUGAUUAGCUAGCUAGUUCUACGUUUGCCACUAAUAUAUCCAUCUGUCAUGUUUGAAUAAUAAUUGCCAUGUUGUAAAUAUUUGUAGAAACUAUGGACACCCCCUGAGACGAAGCACAAGAAGCGUUGUUGAGGGACAUAAUCGCAGAAGGAAGUGAUGUCGUCUGCUCGUUGAUGUUUCCCAACGACACCGAUGGUCUGGAAGGAGAGGGUGAAGAAGCAGCUGACUAUGAUUAUGAUGGCUCCGGUGACCCAAUGCCGGUGCAAGAAGGAGACCGUGAGGACGGCUCCGGUGACCGAACCGAGUCCGGCCAGGUAUAUAUAUUAGUUAAGCCUGUGUUGACUAGCUAAUUGAUGCAUUCAUUGUUUUGGUAUGUACAUAUAUUAAUUAACUCUCAUCUUUGUUCUUUUUUCUAGCCCUCCGGAUCGAGCACAACUUCGGUGAAGAGACGAGGCCCGAAGAAAAAGUUGAGCUGGGAUGAAAGGUUUGAGAUCAUAGCAAUCGCGCGCGACGGCCAACCGAUUGAACCCAUCCGGACAAAGAACGCAUUUGUUGCUCAGUGCGGGGUUCUGGUUAGGGACAAGAUCCCGAUCAGCAUCCAUCAAUGGUUAAAGCCGGCUAAAGAAGACCCUGAGGUGUCUUAUGUCAAUGAUAUAUAGAAAAAUAAUCUUUGGACUGAGCUGAAGUCAAAUUUCACCCUACCGCCAGAGGAUGAUCUGGAGAAGCCAGUUAAAGAGCAAUUAAUCAAGUCUUUUGCUCUUAAGAAGAUGGUAGACCUAUUCAGGAGGUGGAAGAAAGACCUGAAUAGGUUUGUCGAUAAAAAAGAGACACCAGAAUUCAAGGGCAAAUAUGAGAAGAUCAGAGAUGACUGGCCCGCAUUUGUGGCCCACAAGACAUCAUUAAAGAGUAAAAAGAUGUCGGCGACAAACAAGCAAAAUGCUGCGAAGAAGAAGCUUCACCAUCGCAUGGGGUCAGGUGGCUACCUCGUAGCCCGGCCUAAGUGGGCCAAGGCUGAGAAUGAUCUGCUUUAUAAAGGGAUCUAACCAGAGACAAUGAAGUGGCCAGACCGUUGCCGGACUUGGUUCUUCGGGGCUGGCGGAACCUUGGACCUUGUAUCAGGGAAGUGCAUUUGGACGGACAAUCAAUUGGACAUACCAGUCAAGAGGCUUCAGCAAUAUAUUGAUGCAGCGCAGCAAGGGACGUUCGUUCCAGACAGAGAGAAUGAUGAGCUCACAAUGGCCCUCGGGAAUCCUGAGCACCCUGGACGGACACGAGGCACGCCAGACUCCGUUCCGUGGAAGGCUGGGUUUCCGGACGCAGGCGGUUACAAAUGCCAGGAGAGGAAGAAAAAAGUGCAGCAGACCGAACUGCAGGCGCUUAAAGCAAGGGUACAAGGGAUAGAGGAACGAGAAGCAAAUCGCAGCAAACGAACUAUCGAAGCUUCCCCCGAAGCUACCCCGCCAUCUCAGCGGAGAAGCAGCGUGGCUUCCACCGAGCUGCUUCAGCCGGAGCAUGUAUUGAUGGCUCCUGCCAGCUACCCCGUGGAUGCUAUCACGGAGUCAUAAAAUUGCCACCUUAUGACGCCAUGGAUUAAUAUGAAGGUCAAGGCGGCUGUUGGCUCUGUUUUUCCUACUGAACCCGGCGCAACUUUUCACUGCCGGUCGAUUCCAGAAGGAUAUGCUAGGGUGAUGGUGGAUGAAAUAACAGAGGGAUUUGAGGAGCUCUCGCUUGACCACCCUACCGGUAAAGGGGAGACUCGGCUGGGUUCUGCUCUGAAGACUCCAUGCCUAUGGCGGAAGGAUCUCAUCAACCUUCUGAACUGGACGCCUCUGCCUCCUCCUCCUCCUCCGGCGAGUCAGGGCACUCCGCCUCCUCCACCGCCUCCUCCUCCGGCGAGUGACGAUCAGGGCACUGGGCCGGCUCCUUCUCCGGCACGUGGCGGCACUCCGCCUCCUUCUCCGCCUGCGCCGGCGCGCCCGAGCAGCCAGCCUCCUCCUUCUCCGCCUCGUCAGCAAGGGCGGAAGAGACCCGCCGGCGCUCCGGCUGCUCCGGCGCGUCGUAGUCCUUCUCCUCCGCCUCGUAAGCAAGGAAAGAAGACAUCCGCUCCGUCUGCUCUGCCGGCGUCUAGCAGUACAGCCAAAGGCGGGAGGACAUACAGAUUCAGUCCUUCUCUGAAGACUCCAGAGAAGUUACCAUACGAGAUGACCCUGGAGGAGAACACGAAGAUCGCGCGAACCGAAGUGAAGGAUUGGUUUCAAGGGUUGAAAGCACAGAGACAUCCACCUCCGGAGGAGAAGGUAGAUCCGGUGAAAGCGAAGCGCACUCUGGCUGCCCUGACAAAACCACCCAAGUCUCCGCCGAAAGGCAACUAUGAGCGCAUUAUUGGAAAGGCAUUUGCCGAAGCGGAGCGGUCGGGAAGUACUGUCAGUGAUCAAAGGAUGAAAGAACGACAAGCUGGGAAACAAAUUGCCCAGCUCGGCGAACAAGCNNNNNNNNNNNNNNNNNNNNNNNNNNNNNNNNNNNNNNNNNNNNNNNNNNNNNNNNNNNNNNNNNNNNNNNNNNNNNNNNNNNNNNNNNNNNNNNNNNNNUCAUGUAUGAACAAUUUGUAAAUACACCAUGAACAUUUUUUAAAUAAAUGCUGCGCAUUUUUUAAUACAUAGUGAACCAUAUAUACACUAUGAGCAUUUUAUAAUACAUCUUGAAUAUUUAUAAAAUAGAUGGUUAAUAUUCAUGAAUUACUUGAAACUUUUUUAAGCACACGAUGAAAUUUUUUAAAAGGCGCAUUGAGAUUUUUUUUUUCACAUACACAUUGAUUUUUUUAAUAUAUGAUGAACAUUUUUACAUGCAGUGUUAUAUAUUGAAAAUCAUGGAAAACUGCUUUUAAGUUACAGAUACACCUUCUAUAUUCAUGGAUUUUUUUGGUUAUAUGAGAACAUUUGUUUCUAAAAUACAAGAAUAUAUCUCUUUGGUAUGAACACAUUUUUGUUAUACAAAAAGAAUUUUUCAAAUAGACAUGAACAUCCAUGCAAGAAAAUAGACAUGACACUUUCUAUAUACACGAAUAAUUUUUAAAAUACAUGGAUAUUUUAUUUUUAAAACCGGUGAUAUUUGUGUAAUUCACCCGAAACAUAAGUAUAUAGGGAUACUUGUUGGAAAAUGUAACAGGGAUACUUGUUUUUAAAUCCUUAAGUUUCUGUUCUGUGGCAGCUACUUUUGAUUGUCGCCGAAAACUGUUUAACAGUCUGAGGAAAAUAAAUUAAAAGCGAGUUGGAUUAUGAGGGGCGGUGCAUGGAAUAGGUGCAUGAUGUAGCUCAUGUAGGGCAACCCUUAGAUCCGGCUCAACUAGAUUAGUUUUAAAAGUUAUAAAUAUCCCUUUGCGUUUGCACAGUUUUCAGUGAUAAGUCUGUUCUGCGGUGGCCAAGAAAGAAGGGAUUUUUUUUCUUUACCCACACAUGGGCCCUAAAUUCCUGAUUGAUUUUUCUAAUUGGAGUUGUCGAAUAACCUGUGUUAAUUUGUUUCAUGAUCCAUCUGGUGUGAGAUUAAUGCUUAGUGCCUUUUUACGUGUUUCUUUUGACAUUGAAUGUGAUAUGCAUAAGUUGGUCUAUGGUAUUUGCUCACAUACCAAAGCACCUGUAAUGACUAGAAUCCAUUCAAUGAAAGAAGAUUUUAAAUAAUGCAUGUGAAUGAGGGAUGUCAUCAUUCAAUAUAUACCGACCGCCGCAAGUCUAUGUUGCGCUUGGUGAGAAAAUUUUCAAUUACUCAAACCAAUAUACUAAUCUAGAUAUUGUCAACAAUCUAGACAUUGUUUCUCAUCCGAUUGUUUCGUUGGCCGCGGACCGAGGUAUGUGCCAUAUGUGAUGUGAACCAGAUGUUGUCAACUCUGGCAUCACCUUGAUGUGGUCAUUAGAAUGCCGUUCCUAAGUAAAAGUUUUGUGUCAUUUAUUAAUCAUUUUGUUAGCAUCAUCCUUACAAGUUUAGAGUAGCGAGCCUUCAAAGCUUCAUCUUCCACCUUUUUUCUCACCUAUCAUCUCAUACAAACCGUAUUGCAUCGUUAUAUAUUUUUUCUAGACUCCCGUUGCAAUGCAUGGACAUUUGUGCUAGUCAUACCAAAACCAUGUAAAAUUAUUGUAAACAUGGCAUGAAUACUUUAUAAAUUAUAGAUAGGUUGGAGAUGUAUCACUUUCCAAUAUUGCGUCUAGCAUCAUUGAUGUGCAUGUCAAGAUGUGCGUCUGGUGGAUUAUUUGUCUUUGGUGGAUCUGCUCGAAUCAGGCUGUCGUUCAUUUACAUUCGUAUGUGUUCAGGUUGGAUUCUUUCGAUAUACACUAUUCGUCAUCAGUGGAGCUUGCUGUUCUGGUGCGCUAGUCCUACGGGACCUUAGCGCGAUUACUUACCGAGUGUCUAGUACAACAACUUUUUGCCUUGCUCCGGCAAGGGAGGGACGCUAUCGGCGGCGUGUCUUUCGGCUCGCUUCAGUGCUUGUAAUCGUUGCUAGGAGGUCUAUGAAACUAGACGAAAUUUUUAUUAUUUAUGAUGUUUGUUGUAUUACCAUGAUUGAAGAUGAAUAGAUCCAAAGUAAAAAAAGAAAGAAAAACAGUCAUGCUGAUAGGCUUGUCGCCGAAAUAGAACCAUCAACAAAUAGCUCGCGAACCAGAGCCAGAUAGAUAAACAAACCAAACCCAUGGCAGAUAGUACUGCUCCCUCAGUCCAGAAAUACUUGUCAUCAAAAUGAAUAAAAGGAAAUGUAUUUAGAUGUAUUUUAGUUCUAAAUACAUCUCUUUUUGUCCAUUUUGAUGACAAGUAUUUUUGGACGGAGGGAAUAGUAAUAAGUAGAUGAUGGGUUGCUAGAGUGACAGAAGCUUAAACCCUAGUUUAUGCGUUGCUUCGUAAGGGGCUGAUUUGGAUCCAUAUGUUUCAUGCUAGGUGUGGAGGAUAUAACUACUAAGGGUAAACCGCCCAGGAGGGGCCGGUUCACCUUUAGUUACUUUGAAGCCCAAGGAAAUUCAGGAGACGGCGCUUUACUGAUGAAACUAGGAGGCCCAGAGCCUAAGGGCGGAAUAGGGCCCAUGUUGGUAAACCGCCAUGAUUGUACAAACUUGUGAAAUAAGAUAGGAACGGAGAGAUCGAGGCGGACACUUGUAUGAGCCAGCCUCGGGACUCUGUAAACCAGCCGGGGUCCUCCUGUGUAUUUAAAGGGGUGACCCGGCGGCGGUUCAGGAGAGAGAACAACAACUCAAGAUCCAGGCAAGCGUAUUCACUCCCUGAUCAUCAAACCCAAUCAAUUCCAUCACAACUAGACGUAGGCUUUUACCUUCAUCAAAGGGGCCGAACUAGUAUAAAACUCCCGUGUCCCUUGUCCGGUUUAACCCCUUCAAGCUAACCCGUAGCGAUGGCUCCGCGACUAAGUCCUUUCAAGAGGACAUCUGACGUGACAAUUCCACGACAGUUGGCGUCCACCGUGGGGCUAUCGCACGAUGGUUUCGAGUUCUUGAAGGGCAGCUUCGAGGGACUCAAAGGGUACGUGGUUGGCCGGAUGACCAAGAGUCGUCGUGGCAAGCUCUACAUCGACGAUGUGGGAUGGGGCCCCGAGGCCGGCUCAAUCGAGUACGGGUACCGAGUCCCCUUUGGCGGAAUUCAUGUCUUCAUUGGUAAGAUCGGCGAACCAGGCCCUGAGCUGGACACCUGCACCGAUCUCGUCGAAACAGCUCAGCAUGCAAGCCCUGCCCGGAUCAAGCCUGCCGUGAAACAUGCGUUCAUGGGAUGCAUCUAUGGGACCAGAUUUGAACCGGCGUCUGAAGACGAGACGGUUGUCUAUUUCGACGGCGAGUCAUCCACCGGUGAAACUGAGUCCUUAUACCAAGUUCAUGAGGGCGGAUUCCAAGGGUAUUCCGAUGGCAACAGUAUUCCGGAACCCCUCGAACCGCCAAAUCGGGUUGCUAUCUACAUGGCCGGUACACAGCCCACUUUACAAUCGUUGGUGGCAGCCGCGGCAGGAGGUCCGGCGCACCGGCCGGUUCAAGUCCUUUCUGAUCUAAUGGAUGCUUGGACGUCUUGUUAUCUGCAACAGUUACCCCGGAGACGCGGGAUAAGCAUAAUGCGGAUGUUGCGAAGCUGAAGGACCAGAUAGUCCAGGCGAAAGAGGACCUAGCAGCUGAGGAUGCCAGGAUGGCUGAGGAACGAGCCAAUUUGGAUGCCCAGUCACAGCAGAUACAGCCGCAUAAUUAUCGGCUCAUGUUGGAUCAGAACGCAUCAAAUGAGGUAAUGUGGCGGAAGUAUCGAUCACGCAUGCCGUCAGUCUUUGAAGGUGCAAAUCUUUUUAAUACGCCGGGGGCCGGGACGAGUAAUCUGGCAGCCGUGAACCGGACCGACGCGCCUAGAGCGGCGCCGGAUCAGCCACGGAUAACAAAGCCACCUCGACGGACAGACAACCCUCCGCCGUAUGUACCAACCCCGCCGGGUCACUUCUCAAGCCCUUUGGACAAUAUGAUUGCUGCGGCAUCCCGACUGGCGGCUAUUCCAAUGGAGGGCGAUUCACUGGCGGCGAUUGAGAAACGGCGGGCCAGGGAUCUUCUUCAAACCGCCGUGGUACAACAGCAAGCUUAUUCUUAUAGCCGGGAUAGAAUUCAUUCAACCCCCCGCCCGAGCAAAAGCUACAGCAGGCACAUAGAUGAACCGGAGGUAUCUAGUAGCGCUAGGCGCCGUAAUGCGGUGUACGGUGAGAUGAAUGCUCAGGACGUGGUGGAUAAUGGCAGGGCGCGGAGGGAAGCCGCAUUGGCAGCGCCACAUGUGGGUCGUUAUCAAACCGCCCCGAUUCAGCUUGCGGCGUCGGUAGACCGGGGUACUGGGGUCGCCUUCAGCUCCUGGGGUGUGCGGUGUCUUAUUCCGGCCCUCUGUAAUGUGCGGUUACCCAAGGAUUUUAAGGGGCCGCAGAAGGUACCAAAUUAUACUGCUGACCAGCCACCUGAGGCAUGGGUUGAGAGUUAUGAGAUGGCAAUGGAGAUGCUGGAUGUGGAUCAAGCGGCUUGCGCAAAGUAUUUCACAAUGAUGUUGGAAGGGACAGCCCGUACUUGGUUAAAAAACCUGCCAGCCAACUCCAUCGAGUCAUGGGAGCAGCUAAAGGCCCGGUUUAUAGCUAAUUUCAAAGACACUUGCAAACAGCCUAUGUCCAUUGUGGAUUUGGAUGCCUGUGUUCAAGGGAAAAAUGAGUCAACAACUCAUUGGGUGCGCCGGGCUUCAUAAGUUCUGCAUUCGUCAGACCGGAUUAACGCUGGCCAGGCGAUCUUGACGCUGGAGCGCAAUUGCCGGUUUAAGUCACUUAAAAUGAAGUUGGGACGGCUCAAACGCCACUGCAAUGACAUGGGCACACUCAUGGCAGCCUUGGUCAAAUAUGCCGAUUCUGAUAAUACCAAGGAUCCCGAGUCUGAUGAAGAGAAACCGGAGAAGGGAAAGAAGAACGGCGGUGCAAAGGGACAGCAUCACAACCAGGGAGGCCAUGGGAAUAAUGGUAAGCGUAAAGCGGAUGGUGCGGAUUUUGUGGCUAACACCAAUACGCAGCGUCGCAAAGGUAAACCGCCCAGUGCGGUGGAGGGAUGAAUCUGGAGCGUUUGUUAAACCAGCCCUGUCCAAGGCAUGGGACUAAGGAGGCCCCUUCCACACACCUUUGGAAGGAUUGUUAUAUAAUGAAGGAGUUUAAGAACUCUGAUCUUUUCCGGUAUGAUCAGGGUCCGUCGGGCGGUUCAGGCCCCGGUUUCCAAAGCGGAGGCGGUUCAAACUCUGGUUUUCAGAACAACCAUGGUGGUAAUCAACAGGGGAAUCAAGGGGGUCAGCAGCAGUCAGGUUAUCAAAGUCACCCCAAGCAGUUAAACAGUGGACAGUAUCAUGUGUUCACGACUAGCAUGUGCAAGCGGGAUCAGAAGCUUCACAAGAGGGCAGUUAAUGCGGUUGAACCGGCCGUACCACGUUACUUACGUUGGUCUGAGCAGCCUAUUGUAUGGAGCAGAGAGGAUCAUCCACCCCGGGUUGACAAUCCGGGUCAACUAGCACUGGUAGUAGCACCUCAAGUGGGAGGUUACAAAUUCACCAAGGUCCUAAUGGAUGGGGGGAGCAGUAUCAACAUCUUGUACUAUGAGACUUUCCGUCGCAUGGGGUUGACAGAUAAGAAUCUUAAACCAUCAAAUACUGUUUUUCAUGGUGUCGUUCCAGGUAAAUCGGCAUACCCCGUUGGCAAGAUUGCUCUAGAAGUAGUGUUUGGAGAUGAGCACGAUUCCAGGUCCGAGACAUUGACCUUUGAGGUGGUGAAAAUCCAAAGCCCAUAUCAUGCACUGUUUGGACGGCUGGCUUACGCAAGGUUUAUGGCAAGGCCCUAUUAUGUGUAUUUGCAGCUAAAGAUGCCGGGUUACAAGGGGACAAUCACAGUGCAUGGAAGUCGAAAGAUCGCAUUGGAUUGUGAGGAAGGUGAAGCGGCCUACGCUGAAUCGGUUUGUGCUGCAGAAGAGCUGAAAUAUUAUAAGGACAAUGUUGAUCCGGCAGACAUGACACCCUUAAAGAAGCCUACAACUGAGCAUGACCCGGCCCUGAUGUUCAAACCGGCAAAUGAGACCAAGCUUGUUGACUUUGUCCCUGGUGAUUCAUCUAAGCAGUUUACUAUCAGCGCCAAUCUGGAUCCGAAAUAGGAAAGCGCGCUCAUCGAGUUCAUCCGUGAGAACCGGGACAUUUUUGCAUGGAAGCCUUCUGACAUGCCAGGUGUACCGAGGGAACUCGCUGAGCACACUCUCAAUAUUCACUACAAGAAAUCUGUUAAUACAUGACGGAUCCAAUCCAUCACGCAUAAGUGAAAAACUGUCAUGGGUGUCCAGAUAUGACGGAUAUGAAAUCCGUCAUGUAUAUCGCGUCAUAAUUUGACAUUGUACCUUCCUUGACGGUUCCUGGCCGUCACGGAUCUGCCCCAAGCCCGCCCAGGCCCAAACCAUUGUGACGGAGCAGACCGUCAUGGACAGCUGCCACAUAGGAUUUUCAAUUGCCACAUGGUUGCCUACGUGGAUACUAAUCUUCGUCAUAAAAUUCGUCAUGGAUUAUGUAAAUUAAAUCAAGCCCAUUAGCCCAUUUAUUUUGGCUUAAUUUUCACCCAGUAUGUUUUUGGCAUAAUGCAUCACACAAAUCCUAAUUCGAGUUUUGACCCAAGAGGAAGUAUUUGCAAGUGUCAAACAGUACACAGUUCAUCCAGUAUACAACCAUCUGUAUGUAUCAACGUAGCAGUUUAUAAAAUCCUCCAAAAUCCUCUAUGAAAUGGUAACUUACAACAUAGAUUAACAAAAUAUAUCACACAUCAAGGUUAGGAACCAGUACAAUCCAUGUUACAUCAACAAAACAUAUAAACUAUUGAGACUUGUUCAUGUUCUUGUCCUCAGCCCUUUGUGGCAACACCAUCAUGUCGUGGUUGAUUGUGAUAGGCAACACCAAGUAGCUCAUUACCUAGCAUAUUUACAAGAAUAUUAGAUAUACGAAUAGAUAGUACAAAAAAGAGAAUUACAGCAGAGAUUAAAAAAGAAUUACAUCUCCAAGAUUCUUAAAUCUUUAUACUAACAAUACUUGCUGCUGACUUGACCAUCAUAGUACUAUUAUUUAUAACAGGAAGCAGUAAUGAAAUGAACCGGUAUAUAUGUAUACAAGAUGACAGCUUGCACGAGAACUACAAAUUUAGUCUAUAUACAUGGCUUAAAAAUUACUUCACAAUUAUCAAGGUACAAGCCAAAUCAGAACACAAGAACAAAAGUUGAUGGCCACUCUAGUAGUGUAUCGAAGCAAAGCAAGGUUAUUAAGGUACAAGCGGAAGUCUGAAGUUUCUUUUCUUCAUUGGUUCAUCUUGUACAGAUUGCAUUCUCAGGCUAGGAGAACCAAAA
RNAcentral lists this long non-coding RNA (35330 nucleotides) under Triticum aestivum (bread wheat). RNAcentral describes it as "long non-coding RNA (TAES_LNC013896)". The stretch from base 30123 to 30257 matches the Rfam family "MIR1120/MIR1122 microRNA precursor family". The record is from RNAcentral. Lineage: Eukaryota; Viridiplantae; Streptophyta; Magnoliopsida; Poales; Poaceae.